AUUGAACGCUGGCGGCGGGCCUAACACAUGCAAGUCGAACGGUAACAGGAAGAAGCUUGCUUCUUUGCUGACGAGUGGCGGACGGGUGAGUAAUGUCUGGGAAACUGCCUGAUGGAGGGGGAUAACUACUGGAAACGGUAGCUAAUACCGCAUAACGUCGCAAGACCAAAAAGGGGGACCUUCGGGCCUCUUGCCAUCGGAUGUGCCCAGAUGGGAUUAGCUAGUAGGUGGGGUAACGGCUCACCUAGGCGACGAUCCCUAGCUGGUCUGAGAGGAUGACCAGCCACACUGGAACUGAGACACGGUCCAGACUCCUACGGGAGGCAGCAGUGGGGAAUAUUGCACAAUGGGCGCAAGCCUGAUGCAGCCAUGCCGCGUGUAUGAAGAAGGCCUUCGGGUUGUAAAGUACUUUCAGCGGGGAGGAAGGGAGUAAAGUUAAUACCUUUGCUCAUUGACGUUACCCGCAGAAGAAGCACCGGCUAACUCCGUG
RNAcentral lists this ribosomal RNA (490 nucleotides) under uncultured bacterium. Its description in RNAcentral is "partial 16S ribosomal RNA". It matches the Rfam family "Bacterial small subunit ribosomal RNA", at positions 30 to 507 of the family's 1533-position model. The record is from RNAcentral.